Molecule: ribosomal RNA, 265 nt
Filed under: uncultured bacterium
Lineage: Bacteria
Description: partial 16S ribosomal RNA
Rfam family: Bacterial small subunit ribosomal RNA
Source: RNAcentral
GAUGAACGCUAGCGGCAGGCUUAACACAUGCAAGUCGAGGGGUAGAGUUCUUCGGAACUUGAGACCGGCGCACGGGUGCGUAACGCGUAUGCAAUCUACCUUUUACAGAGGGAUAGCCCAGAGAAAUUUGGAUUAAUACCUCAUAGUAUUAUUGAAUGGCAUCAUUUAAUAAUUAAAGUCACAACGGUAAAAGAUGAGCAUGCGUCCCAUUAGCUAGAUGGAAGGUAACGGCUUACCAUGGCAACGAUGGGUAGGGGUCCUGAGA